RNAcentral lists this long non-coding RNA (1092 nucleotides) under Hordeum vulgare. RNAcentral describes it as "long non-coding RNA (HVUL_LNC000163)". The record is from RNAcentral. Lineage: Eukaryota; Viridiplantae; Streptophyta; Magnoliopsida; Poales; Poaceae.
UCACUUUCGUUGAUAAGAAUCUGCAUGUAGAAUAUUUAGCAUGUAGGAGAAAUACCUGCACAACAGAAGCUAGUCUUAUUUAGAGUAUACCAUGUAAUGCACUGUGUCUUAAAUAUAGGACCUUGAGCACUGGUUCAGAGGAUAUAUCGAUAGCUUAUAAUAUAUAGAGAGGGAUUCAUCAUUUUCAACUUUAAAACUCCACAAUCAUUAGAAAAGAAAAUAGCCACUCAUAACUAUUCUCUCUAAAUAUUACAUCAAAGGCUCAACCACAUGCAUGGGGAGCAGGUCGAACAGGUAGUCAGCGGGAUGUUUGAAACUGACCGGAGAAAAGGGAUAUACGAUGCAAGAUGUAUUGCAUUGUGCCCGAGUAACGCAUGCCGAUGGGGGUUGGCUUCGUCCUUGUUAUCUCAAUGGAUGGCAUUCAAUUGCUUCUCGCAAGUCACAUGCAUAGUGGGUGUCAUCAUGUGGUUGCAUGACACGCUGAAAUUUAACUCACGCAUAGUCUCGCGCCUUGAUCAAUCUCUAUAAAAGAAUAUGCAAUACAUCACCCGUAGAUAAAUUAAUCGGUCAGUUCAAAACUCUAAGACGAAAUUGAAGCAAACCAUCGACUUGUUCCUUUUCGGUCUUCAUGGUAGUGAUGUGGUCAUUUUCUUCCAAGAAGACGUUGCUAAGCACUGAGGUACGUGCUCAGCAGAUGGCUGGAGGUGGUAAGGGUGCAGUGAGGGCAAUGGCCAGGCUGAGGCGCAUCAUAGUUAUUCAGGAGGUGACAGCAUGCUCUUCGCCUACAUGGCAUAUCCCGCUAUUUAAAACACUGCAUGUAACGUGCAAAAGAAAACUGCAAAAGAUAGACAGUGGAUGAGAUGGGCUUUGGGAGAGAUUAAAGAAUCAGUUCAUGGAGAUUAAGGCAGUACCGAUUCCUUCUUAUUGAUUUGGGUCGACACUUGUGAGGAGAGAAAUUGUUAGACUUAAAGUCCUCUUCGUACAAAUCUUGCUACCCUGUUGGCAAGAUAUAAAGAAUAAUUUUUCCACCAUCACCAAAUUGUGUGAAGAUUCAGAUUGGAGAACACAUUAAGAAUCUAGGCGGAACACACA